GGGGAAUAUUGCACAAUGGGGGAAACCCUGAUGCAGCGACGCCGCGUGAGUGAAGAAGUAUUUCGGUAUGUAAAGCUCUAUCAGCAGGGAAGAAAAUGACGGUACCUGACUAAGAAGCCCCGGCUAACUACGUGCCAGCAGCCGCGGUAAUACGUAGGGGGCAAGCGUUAUCCGGAUUUACUGGGUGUAAAGGGAGCGUAGGUGGUUCGGUAAGUCAGAUGUGAAAGCCCGGGGCUCAACCCCGGGACUGCAUUUGAAACUAUCGAACUAGAGUGCAGGAGAGGUAAGUGGAAUUCCUAGUGUAGCGGUGAAAUGCGUAGAUAUUAGGAGGAACACCAGUGGCGAAGGCGGCUUACUGGACUGCAACUGACACUGAGGCUCGAAAGCGUGGGGAGCAAAC
This 400-nucleotide ribosomal RNA is filed under the name uncultured bacterium. RNAcentral describes it as "bacterial SSU rRNA". It matches the Rfam family "Bacterial small subunit ribosomal RNA", at positions 356 to 773 of the family's 1533-position model. The record is from RNAcentral.